GACGAACGCUGGCGGCGUGCUUAACACAUGCAAGUCGAACGGAAAGGCCCCUUCGGGGGUACUCGAGUGGCGAACGGGUGAGUAACACGUGAGUAACCUGCCCUGACUUCGGGAUAACUUCAGGAAACUGGGGCUAAUACCGGAUAGGAAUCCUUGCUGCAUGGUGGGGGUUGGAAAGCUUCGGCGGUUUUGGAUGGACUCGCGGCUUAUCAGCUUGUUGGUGGGGUAGUGGCUUACCAAGGCUUUGACGGGUAGCCGGCCUGAGAGGGCGACCGGCCACAUUGGGACUGAGAUACGGCCCAGACUCCUACGGGAGGCAGCAGUGGGGAAUAUUGCACAAGGGGCGGAAGCCUGAUGCAGCAACGCCGCGUGCGGGAUGACGGCCUUCGGGUUGUAAACCGCUUUCAGCAGGGGCGAAGCUUGUGGUGACGGUACCUGCAGAAGAAGCACCGGCUAACUACGUG
This 464-nucleotide ribosomal RNA is filed under the name uncultured bacterium. RNAcentral describes it as "partial 16S ribosomal RNA". It matches the Rfam family "Bacterial small subunit ribosomal RNA", at positions 28 to 507 of the family's 1533-position model. The record is from RNAcentral.